This 132-nucleotide small RNA is filed under the name Salmonella enterica. RNAcentral's name for it is "RtT sRNA". It matches the Rfam family "RtT RNA". From Rfam's summary of the family: This family represents a bacterial cis-regulatory element known as RtT RNA. Lineage: Bacteria; Pseudomonadati; Pseudomonadota; Gammaproteobacteria; Enterobacterales; Enterobacteriaceae. RNAcentral also lists the same sequence under 2 other names. The record is from RNAcentral.
AUAUCUCUCCGUACGGGAAGGAUGAGAAGCUUCGACUAAGGUUCGAUUCGAGCGAAAGCGAGAAAGCGUUGCCAACGGCAACGACCCGAAGGGCGAAGCGCGCAGCGCUGAGUAAUCCUUCCCCCACCACCA